This is a long non-coding RNA of Lutra lutra (Eurasian river otter), 1262 nucleotides long. RefSeq lists it as uncharacterized. The transcript is spliced from 3 exons. The record is from RefSeq and is a predicted model, not a curated record. Lineage: Eukaryota; Metazoa; Chordata; Mammalia; Carnivora; Mustelidae.
CGUAAGGCGACCUGGGCCCGCUCGGUAAACAGGCGGCGCGCUCGCUAAAUGUCGCGGAGUUGAAGCGAUGGCCCGGAACGCCCUGCCUGAGACAGAAGGCCGCUCGAACCGGUUAGCCGUGGCUGUGUAACAGGUUACCCCGGACGUGGCCGCUUCCAGCGGAGCCCGUUUAUCAUCCCUUAGCUGGUUCCCCUGUCCCUCACCCUGUCGGAAUGCUGCGGGCAGGGGCCAGCCAGUUGUGGGGGCACCCCCGAGGCCGCCUCUAGGGAAGGGCCCGCUUCCGAGCCCGGGCACUGGCUGUGGGUAGCGGGAGGGCCUCAGUCCACGGCUGCGUGGGCCUCCGAAGGCUGGCGACGUGCUUCAUCAGAGCUAGCAGGAGAAUCUGCAACAUCAGAGCUGUCCGGAGUCUAAUCACAGAAGUGACCCCGUCCUCCUGGCCAGGCACAGGAGGGUAGGGAUCACACAGGCCCGGGUAGAGCAGGAAGCCGGGGUCGCUGGGGAACUCUCAGAGGCUGCUGCCCAAACAGAGCCUGAGCGAAAGCAGGGAGGGGGCGGUCAGCUCAGAGCCUCCCUUGUGGUUUCAUUGUCCCCUGAGAUAAGGGACCUCCCGGUGGUCAUCUCCAUGCAACUUGGACUCCAUCCCAAAAAGCAGCGACGGCACAUUACGGUCUGGCUGGCAACUUAGCCAAAUGGUUUCUGUUCCAGCUUCAUCUCCCUCUCCUCUCAGAUAGGCCACACUCGUUCCUGCUCAUGUUGGCAAGGGAACGACACGAGGUCACUCCUUGUGUCCACCCCUUGUGAGAGACCCUAGUGUGUGCUGCGACUGUCUGCACUUCACAGCCUGGAGUCCGAGACGCGGCCAGAAGGUGGAAACCACCCAAUGUCCGUCAGUAGAUGGAGGAUAAACACAAUCUGUCCGUCCAUCCACACACUGAAAUAUCAUUCAGCCCAAGAAAGGAAGGGACCCUGUCUCCUGCCACGACGCGGAAGGACCCAAGGACACAGGGCUCAGCGAGAGAAGCCAGACCCAGAAGGACUCAUCCUGCAGGUCCCCACUCCCAGGAGGGCCCCAGAGGAGUGAGGAGUCCCAUCCACACAGAGAGGAGAGGGUGCAGGACUCCGCUCCUCCACCCGGCACCCCGCCUCCACUGUCAGCGUACCUUCUAAGUAGAUUGUACGCCCAUCGCAUUGCAGGGCUUGAACUCAUGACCCCGACAUCAAGAAUGGCAUGAUCUACUGACUGAGCUAGCCAGGCACCCCAG